This 3012-nucleotide long non-coding RNA is filed under the name Hordeum vulgare. RNAcentral's name for it is "long non-coding RNA (HVUL_LNC013295)". The record is from RNAcentral. Lineage: Eukaryota; Viridiplantae; Streptophyta; Magnoliopsida; Poales; Poaceae.
AAUUCCUUUCACUAUUGGACUCCUCUCAUAUCAGGCUGCCUCCUAGACAACUUUUCUUGUUGGAUUAUUAUUGUUGGCCGCGCGCGCAUUAGCGCCAUGUUGGUGCAACCGUUCGCGACCGACGCCGUUGUCAUUCGUUGACCGUUCGUCGAAUCCAUCCGUAUCCUUGCGCCAGAAGCUUCUCCUCCAUGCUGCAGCUCCAUUCAGAGAAGAAAGAACGCGAUCCGUCCACCACACACGAAGAAUUCUGCAUGUCCGCAUACACUGUUCGUCGAGUUCAUCGCUUUGUAUCUUCAUGCUCGGUGAGUCUCUAUCCAAUUCAUUUUGCAUACCUCCUAGGCAUCACUCAUAUUAUCUCCUAGACAUCCCUAUUCCAACUAAUUUUGUUGUUGGCCGCGUCGAUGCUAUCCAUCCCAUGAACCGUAGGUCAUGGUCAUCAUUUUUGUUGUUGUUUUGUUUAUCGUUUGGUUUUGAUCCCAGUAGAUGAAGCGCCUUGUGUGGAUGUAGCAAGCCCGUGGUGGAGUUAGAUUAUUGGUUUUAUAUUGUGAACAGUAGGAUAGAUAUGAGCAUAGUCGUUUUUUUUAAUUCAAGAGUCUUUCUAGUUUGGUUAAUUUUUUAUGUUAGUAUGUUAUUUCAUGUGUUCGUGAUAUGCCUAGGAGUGCAUGGUUUUUACCUUAGAAUUUUAGAAAUAUCAUGUGGUUGAUCGAUUGAUUUGAAUGUACAUUUAAAUUAUUAAAUUAGUCUUCUAGUUUUUCAUCUAGAUAAUUGCGUGCAUCAUGUAGUAGUAUUAUAUGUCCGUGUACUAGUUCUUGUGAAAUAUUUUCAGGUGUAGAUGUUGAUUCAGUGUAACGGAUUAUCAAUGUUCAUACAUGCUUGAUGGGUGUUAUUAUUUUAAUUAAUUUGGAUGAUCGUUAGAAUAAUCUUAUUAUUACUAUUUUGGUAAUGCUUGAUACUUAAUGUAUGUGUGCGUACAAAUUUUAGUAAAUGUUUGCCAUGCUUAUAAUUCCUCAGAUUUGUUUUAGGUAUUGCUUGAUUUAUUUGUGCAAUAUUUCAUGUUUGAUUAUAUUGUUUAACAUGAAGAUACCUAGAUGCGUUAUAUAUAUCUUUGUCAAGAAUGUCUAUCACAUGCAUGUUGAAAGUUUUGAUGUGAUGCCAUGUUCUAGGUUGAUGUUUAUUUUAAUUGUGCGGCAUAUAAUUUUUGUUGUAUGAUUGGUGUAAUGAAAUGACAUUUUUAACUUAGAACAUGGUCAUGCUUGACAUGAGUUGCUUGUUGUAGGACUAUUAUUAGCAUUUAGAUUAUGUGUCGCAGCUCGGUUAAUGCCACUUUCAUAAUUUCCUAAGUUGUGUGACACGUCAUUGUAUUGUGUGAUAUUUUACUAAUAAUGUUUGAGUGCUUGUACCUUAUUUGGAGAUUGAUUUUUUAGAAAAGAUUGCAUGGUUGGUUCCCUUAUGCCAUGUUUUAAAUAUGUAUUCCUGUACAUAGUUUAAUCUUGCGGCAUAGAAAGUUAUUACUUCUUGUUAUUUAUCCUUAAGUGUUUUAUUUACGUAGGACAGUAGCUAUGCAUGUUUAGUGGACUGCUAUGUCAUGUUUGUCGUUACUCAAAGUAGAAUGCAUGUUUUGGUUGUAUGUCUAUCACAUGUUAUAUGAUUACUAAUUAUAUAAUAUGUUCAUAAAUAUGGUUAGCCUUUGCAUGGUAGAUAUACCUGACGAUAUUUUGCGGUCUCAUGUAUUUUUAUUAAGUGGAGUUCAUCCUUGUUUUGUCAACAUCAUGCCAUGUUGUUGUGAUUGUAUAACUAGAAUGUAUUGCAUGUGUGUAUCAACUCACGUCUUGUAUGAUCCCUAGUUCUAUAUCUAUUUAUUUAUUAAGUGUAGGUCAUACUAGAUAGAAAUGCAUGCCAUCAUAUUAUUCGCGUUGUAUGAUACAUGAGCUAAGUGCUUACUUACCUACAUGCUCAUUACUCUUUAUGAACGUGCUUACCUGUAUUAACUAACAUGAUAGGGUUGUGUGCUUAUUCCAUGAUUUCAUGUUCUUACAUGUCAUGACUAGAAUGUGAGAUUGCAUGCUAGUGCCAUGCUUGAUCUUCAUGAUAGUUGAUAUCAACUAAGUUAUCUUAUAGUUACGAGUUGUAUUCUUUUGGUAGCCUAGUAUGGUAUCUCAUGUGAAGUAUAUUUACUUAUCUAUCUAUUGCAUUAUUGUAUGCUUAAGCCUUUACAUCUUGUCAUGAUAGUGAUCUUUCAUGUCUUAUUAUGCUCCAUGUGUUAUAGUAGCGUACUUAGUCCGUGUGCUUCUUAUAGGUGAUUGCCCUUGUCACAUGUUAGUGUUUUAUACUUGAUGCAAUAGUUCAUCCCAUGCUUAGGAUGAGUCAUAUGUCAUGUUAAUAGAAUUGUGCUUUGAUCAUACAGUUAGUGUGCACAUCAUGCUUUAUUAUUUUGAUCAUGUGGUGAUAAUAUAAUUGCUAGUGGUCGUUAGUAUUGGUUUAUCUUUUGUUCUAGAAACAUCGUUUGUUAUGGUUGAUGUUUCACUUUGCUUGUGGUUACCAUUGUAAAUAUUUAGAUUAUAUCUAAGUAUUUAUUUGUGGUUAACCUUUACAUCUACUAUGUUAUGUUGAGAUUGUGUAGUAAAAAUACGUAUGUUGAUUCCAUUCCAUGUGUGCUGAACUUCAUCGGAUUCAUCAUGUAGUAGUCCUAUAUACUUAACUGAGUUGUGUAGUGGACAGUACUAAUCGUCAGUAUCGUAGUUUCCAUUAGAACGCUAGUCUUGAUCACCAAGUGUUACUUAGUCAUCGUCAACCUAAACCAUGUCACCUCAUUGAAUCAUCUCUCUUACAUCCCUAUCGUGCUAUCCCAUUUCGGAAUCUCCAUCUUGAUCAAUAUCUUGUUACCCAUCCACCUUAUUUUGUUUUGGAUGUUAUUUGGAAUUACCAUUGCUUUGGUAUUUAUUGUUUGUCUUUUGCUAUCGUUACGAUGAGUAGGGAGUGACGAUGUUGGACAUGGAGAUAGUCAGGUUACUG